AGAAUCAACGCUGGCGGCGUGCCUCAGACAUGCAAGUCGAACGCGAAAGUCCCCUUCGGGGGACAAGUAGAGUGGCGCACGGGUGAGUAACACGUAGGUAAUCUACCUUCGGGUGGGGAAUAACAACCGGAAACGGUUGCUAAUACCGCAUAAUGCAGCGGCACCUAAUGGUGACAGUUGUUAAAGCGGGGGAUCGCAAGAUCUCGACGCCUGAAGAGGAGCCUGCGGCGGAUUAGCUUGUGGUAGGGUAACGGCCUACCGAAGGCGACGAUCCGUA
This 277-nucleotide ribosomal RNA is filed under the name uncultured soil bacterium. RNAcentral's name for it is "partial 16S ribosomal RNA". It matches the Rfam family "Bacterial small subunit ribosomal RNA", at positions 26 to 285 of the family's 1533-position model. The record is from RNAcentral.